This 429-nucleotide ribosomal RNA is filed under the name uncultured bacterium. Its description in RNAcentral is "bacterial SSU rRNA". It matches the Rfam family "Bacterial small subunit ribosomal RNA", at positions 355 to 776 of the family's 1533-position model. The record is from RNAcentral.
UGGGGAAUAUUGCGCAAUGGGCGAAAGCCUGACGCAGCGACGCCGCGUGGAGGAUGAAGGCCUUAGGGUUGUAAACUUCUGUUAAGUGAGAAAAAAGAUCUUUUCCUAAUACGAAAAGAGGAUGAUUGUAUCACUAGAGAAAGCACCGGCUAAACUCGUGCCAGCAGCCGCGGUAAUACGAGUGGUGCAAACGUUAUUCGGAAUCAUUGGGCGUAAAGGGCGUGUAGACGGUAUGUUUAGUCUGUUGUUAAAUCCUUCGGCUUAACCGAAGAUAAGCGGCAGAUACUGGCAUGCUAGAGGGUGGAAGAGAGAAGUGGAAUUCUCGGAGUAGCGGUAAAAUGCGUAGAUCUCGAGAGGAACACCAAUGGCGAAGGCAGCUUCUUGGUCCAUUCCUGACGUUGAGGCGCGAAAGCGUGGGGAGCAAACAGG